This is a long non-coding RNA of Oreochromis aureus, 3404 nucleotides long. The record is from Ensembl. NCBI's taxonomy places the organism in Eukaryota, Metazoa, Chordata, Actinopteri, Cichliformes, Cichlidae.
CGACGGAGCACGCUGACAGCCCCGUGGUGCCACAGGCUGCCACUUGCUUUGCCAGUCCAUUAUAAAGUACCCAUCUCAGGACUGGCACACAAUAGCUACUGUCACAUCGUCACCUGAGUGCCUCGCCUCUAGCAGACAAUGGCCGCGCCGCUGUUGCUCGGGUGGGAAUGUGGGUGUUCUCGCAUGUUUGGAAAGAUAACGGAGUGUAGCCUGGACCUUUUUCUCAGCCCACCGCGAUCCUCCUUCACCUCACUCCUCACUGAGCUCUCUGAUUUGUUGGAUCUUUCUUUGAAAAAUGCCAGAAAACCCUUGUUCAAAGAGGGAUUCACUUGGUUAUUUCUUGGACUGCAAGAUGUGCUAUUAUAAGCCGGCACGAAAGAGCAAAAAACCUGCAAGCUGAAACCUUACUCUGUAUGACAGAUGUCAAGCUGUUUGUGUUGAUAAAGCCUAUGAGGUUUCUCCCAUGUACAGCAGGGACAGUGACAGUGACCCUUGGACGAUGGUGAUUUAUCAUCAGGCUUCUCUGAUUCUCUGGGACUUCAGCAAGCUAUAGGCUCCGUCUACAGUGGUACAGUGUUAAAUACACAUUGGGUUAUGGUAUCAGUGUGGUAGGAAUAAACUGUGUUUCUUUAUUUAUUCAUCUUGAAACUGUAGUAGUGUUAGCCUUUUUUUUUUCUUCUUUUUCUUGUGACAAUUAUUAUCAUGUUAUCAAUCAGUAGUGAAGAUGUGUCUAGCUGGCUGCCAUCUUUUCCCCACUGAUUAAAGAAAUCUGUCAGUUUUAAGACUUCUUAUUUUGGUGAGUUGACUUACAAAAACCUCCACAUCUACAGACAGAUGACAAAUUUCCACUGGGCCAAACAUCCAAGGAUUUUGUGUUAGCCUGAAACAUUGGUAGAACUAUAAAGAAUCACAACCAAAAGUACAAACAGACCCAGACAAAUGUUACAAAUUCAUGCCGUUGUUCCCAGGCUGUUGAGCUCAUAUCCAUCUAAUUUUGUCCAAUAAUUGUUGCAGGUUGGAUGACUGCCGUUUCUGUAGGUUUACUAGGAUCCAUCUGUUCUCCGCCUGGUAUAGACUACGUUACUUUCUCUUCAUGUUAAAGAGAUGGGAGAAAAAGACAAAGAAAGAAAGACCACGGUUUCAGCCGCACAUUAGUGUGUCGUCACGGAAAAAUCAGCGAGAGUUGCACCUACACAGUUUCACUGCUCCAUCUGUGCUAUGCGAUACGGAGUUUGAGCAACGUUCCAGCAACCGAGGCCAUUUCAUUUCACCACACUGUUUAAUGUGCACAUCGGUGUGAAGUUUAGACCAAGCAUACCCAGGGAUGAAACAAGUUUUGGGCUUUUUUUAAUUUAAUUUACUUUGACUUGGAGGUGCAUUAUGUAAUGCCUGACUUUCUUUGACCUCUUCUGGGAACUAAUGGUACACGUAUCAACAUCAUUAGAAUUUACUUCUUCACCAGACAAGUUUCCAGUAAAGCCUCCCUCCUAACUCUGGGAGCGUAGCCUGCAAUUAACAUAAAUAAGUCACAUAAGAAAAAAGAAGUAAAUCUCCCAACAGAAAUGUUUAGAUCCGAUUUAUGCAAAUCUGGUGAAUAUUACUGAUUAAUUUCUCUUAUCAGGUUCUGACUUGGGCUGUGAGGUAAUAUUUAACCUGCUUACACUUGACUGUUCUGGUUGAAGUACAGCAGGGGCUCUUCUGACAGCCAGAUUCAGUUUGCUUUGCUGGGAGUGCUGGCUGACAAAACAAUUAAUGCUGCUGUGCCUUAGAGAUGCACAGCUGUCCAGCUGCCAGCCUCUCGUCCUGUCAUGACACUGUUGGAGCACGACAUACUGCAGCUCCUCACGUUUAGCUCUAUCGUUUAUACACCAGAUUCAUUAUUUAGCAAACAUUACACUGAAAAGCAUUUAAAAGCAUAUUGUAAAUGGUUAAUUAAUUAUGAGCUGCGAUAGGAGGAUGAUGCCUACAUGUUUUUAGUGAAGGGGAUCCUUUAGAGAAUCAAAAUAUGACAGAAAUAUAUCAACCUUAAUGCCAUUUUUUCUCACUAUGACACUGCAUACUGAAUCGUUUAAUAUUUCAGAGUCUUCAGAAUAUGCUAUGCAGUGUGCUUGGCCACACUAUAGAGCAAUGCAAUGACUAAGACCAUGUAGCAUUUGUCAAAGCUGGAUUUCUGCAUGUUAUAGUAAAUAUGGACAAUAUUUGAGUUUUGCCAGAGAUAAUAUGUGUGUAACUAAAGCAUGUUUAAACAGUUACCACAUGUUACCUAAAGCCUGAAAAAUCAAAUCACAUUGUGUGUUUCAGCACUGACAUCAGUAAGAUGACAUCUAUAAUAACAGAUCCAGGUUGUAAUUUAAUGUUUUGUUUUGCAUGGAUUACACUUUUGAUGUCCACAAGUUCAAUGUCAAUUGCCCAAAUACGUUGACAGAUUUGACGGGAUAGUGAUGCAGAAUUUUGUUAAGCGAAUGAAAAUUUACAUGUAUGACAUUAACAAUAAAUAUUUUGGUGAAAACCUUUGCUCUAAAGGAGAGCAAACAUCAGUCAGUUAAAAUAGUCUUUGACAAUGCCUGAAGAGAAACACUGUGAGGCUAAUUAUUAGGGCACUCAUUUACAUUUUUAAAUCCACUUACAAAAAUUAAUCUUUUGCUUCACAGAGCAAAUCAUUGUCAUUAAGGGAGCCUGGAACUUAAAUCAUCCCCAGUGAUCUAAGACUGCUCUGUUAAAACUGACCAAUUUGAAUUUAAAUGUACGUUUGUCAAAGACUAAAAACACAGACGUCAUUACCUCUCCACUUUCAAAGUGCUAUGGGUGCAGUCUGCAUGUUGUUCUUAGAAAACUCUGGCCGUUCAGUUAAUUUCCCAAAUGGCUUUAUCAGCAGCCAUAGAGCGAAGCUCCCUGGAGACAGAGGCUGCCAUUUUAAAUGGCAUUUGUUGUUCUCUUCAAUACGUAUUUAAGUUGUCAGCUCAAAAGCCUCUGUUUGAAAUCACAAAGCCGGGAAACUGAUGGAGAGAUAGAGACUGAACAAGUAAGAAUGAGCUUCAAAGCUGCCUUUUGUACAAUACUGAAGAUUUAUGCCCUUUGAAUUUAAAAAAAGAAAUAAAGUGGGAAUGGUGGCCUCCGCAUUUCAUUCUAUGUUUAGGUAAUGAAUCAUUUGCAUUGAGUAGUAAUUCUCUAGAAAAAUCUGCUUCUAUCAGUUUGUCAGUGUAAUGUUGCCGGAGUUUCUCGUGGCAACAAAACUUUAGCAUUAAACAGGCUCAUUAUCAAAAUUAUAAGACAAUGCACAACAGUUGGGUUUAUGCUUAUGUAGGUGAACUUUUAUGGUUGUGGCAAUUAGUGCAUGUAAAAGUUCCCUAACCUUUCAGAAGGCACACUGUAUAUUAUAUUUAGUGGAUCUCUUCAUACCGAAG